Molecule: ribosomal RNA, 493 nt
Filed under: uncultured bacterium
Lineage: Bacteria
Description: partial 16S ribosomal RNA
Rfam family: Bacterial small subunit ribosomal RNA
Source: RNAcentral
AUUGAACGCUGGCGGCAUGCUUUACACAUGCAAGUCGAACGGCAGCGAGGAGAAGCUUGCUUCUCUGUCGGCGAGUGGCGAACGGGUGAGUAUAGCAUCGGAACGUGCCAAGUAGUGGGGGAUAACCAAACGAAAGUUUGGCUAAUACCGCGUAAGCUCUAAGGAGGAAAGUAGGGGACCUAAAUAAGGCCUUACGCUAUUUGAUCGGCCGAUGUCGGAUUAGCUAGUUGGUGGGGUAAUGGCUCACCAAGGCAAUGAUCCGUAGCGGGCCUGAGAGGACGAUCCGCCACACUGGGACUGAGACACGGCCCAGACUCCUACGGGAGGCAGCAGUGGGGAAUUUUGGACAAAGGGGGAAACCCUGAUCCAGCCAUGCCGCGUGUAUGAAGAAGGCCUUAGGGUUGUAAAGUACUUUUGUUAGGGAAGAAAAGCCAGUUUUUAAUAAAAAUUAGUGAUGACGGUACCUAAAGAAUAAGCACCGGCUAACUACGUG